Mycena rebaudengoi is the source of this 89-nucleotide non-coding RNA. The record is from the annotation of a GenBank genome assembly. Lineage: Eukaryota; Fungi; Basidiomycota; Agaricomycetes; Agaricales; Mycenaceae.
GCACCGGUGGUGCAUGGUGCACACUGCCAUUGAAUAACCGUCGGAUGUUUGUUUUCAGGCAGACCGGGGUUCGAUUCCCUACCGGUGCA